This is a long non-coding RNA of Oncorhynchus keta (chum salmon), 575 nucleotides long. RefSeq lists it as uncharacterized. NCBI's taxonomy places the organism in Eukaryota, Metazoa, Chordata, Actinopteri, Salmoniformes, Salmonidae. The record is from RefSeq and is a predicted model, not a curated record. The transcript has 3 exons.
CACAACAUGCAGAAGGACAUCUUCAGCUGCAGGGUCUUUGUAAUGCAGGUUUGAUAGUUACAUUUUCAAUAAUGUGACAAUUAGGUAAAAACUCUAUUUUAUUUUUUGGUGUAGAUGGCCAAGGAAGUUGCACAGAACUUCCCCAACAUCCCAAAUUGAUAAGGAACCUUCACAAAAACACAUGGAGCAACUGCGAAAAGAAAUGGCUGAGGAUAUACUAAAAAUGUCUGUUCAAUAAAGCCAACAACUGCUUCAUGUGUGCCACUGAUAAAGAACCUGGAUAUGGCCCAAAGACUGACUGGAUUGAAUGUUUUGCAUUCGGUGGUUCCAUGUGCUGUGCCUCGGAAUGAAGACAACAGAGUUCAACAGAGUAAAGAACACAAACUGGAAGUGCAGUCUGUUGUUGAUAAUGUAUGCUCUACCCCAGGGGUGUCAAAGUCAAAUGGACGGAGGGCCAAAUAAAAAAUUUAGCUACAAGCCGAGGGCCGGACUGUUCGAAUGUUCAUUGAAAAAUUUUUAAAUGACGCAUAUAGUCUAGUGAACCUAAUUGAACCUACUGAAAACCUAACAAAUAU